Molecule: ribosomal RNA, 426 nt
Filed under: uncultured bacterium
Lineage: Bacteria
Description: bacterial SSU rRNA
Rfam family: Bacterial small subunit ribosomal RNA
Source: RNAcentral
UGGGGAAUAUUGGACAAUGGGGGAAACCCUGAUCCAGCAAUGCCGCGUGUGUGAAGAAGGCCUUCGGGUUGUAAAGCACUUUUAUCGGGAACGAAACGUUGUCGGUUAAUACCCGGCAAAACUGACGGUACCCGAGGAAUAAGCACCGGCUAACUCCGUGCCAGCAGCCGCGGUAAUACGGAGGGUGCAAGCGUUAAUCGGAAUUACUGGGCGUAAAGCGUGCGCAGGCGGUUUGUUAAGUCUGCUGUGAAAUCCCCGAGCUCAACUUGGGAAUUGCAGUGGAUACUGGCAAGCUAGAGUACGGUAGAGGAAGGUGGAAUUCCCGGUGUAGCAGUGAAAUGCGUAGAGAUCGGGAGGAACACCAGUGGCGAAGGCGGCUAUCUGGACAGUUUCUGACGCUAAGACGCGAAAGCGUGGGGAGCAAAC